Molecule: ribosomal RNA, 527 nt
Filed under: uncultured bacterium
Lineage: Bacteria
Description: bacterial SSU rRNA
Rfam family: Bacterial small subunit ribosomal RNA
Source: RNAcentral
AGUUUGAUCAUGGCUCAGAACGAACGCUGGCGGCAGGCCUAACACAUGCAAGUCGAGCGCCCAGCAAUGGGAGCGGCGGACGGGUGAGUAACGCGUGGGAAUUUUUCCUGGAGUACGGAACAACCGAGGGAAACUUCGGCUAAUACCGUAUGAUGCCGAGAGGCCAAAGAUUUAUCGCUCUGGGGUGAGCCCGCGUCAGAUUAGGUAGUUGGUGGGGUAAUGGCCUACCAAGCCUGCGAUCUGUAGCUGGUCUGAGAGGACGAUCAGCCACACUGGGACUGAGACACGGCCCAGACUCCUACGGGAGGCAGCAGUGGGGAAUCUUGCGCAAUGGGCGAAAGCCUGACGCAGCCAUGCCGCGUGAGUGAAGAAGGUCUUAGGAUUGUAAAGCUCUUUCGCUCGUGACGAUGAUGACGGUAACGAGAGAAGAAGCCCCGGCUAACUUCGUGCCAGCAGCCGCGGUAAUACGAAGGGGGCUAGCGUUGUUCGGAAUUACUGGGCGUAAAGCGCGCGUAGGCGGUUUUGCA